CUGCUAUUAUCCCUUUGUGAAACUAGAUUGCAACCGAGUUUGCGGAGAAUACGAUCGUAGUGCGAGAAGGGGCGAGAGAAUGCGAGGAAUAUGAUAAUAUUGGAAGAAUUGGGAAAGAGAAUUCGCUUUACGAGAUGGUGAAGCACGAAGGAACCACUCGUCUCGACGCAAUCCUCUAUUAGAAGCAGUUUCCCCCUCAAAGGCCAUGGAUCUGUCUGCUGCUCCAAACCCAAUGCCUCAUCCAACAGAUUCAAACUUCGUUUCUCCAUUGCUACCAUCAAUUCCCU
Molecule: unclassified non-coding RNA, 287 nt
Filed under: Hevea brasiliensis (rubber tree)
Lineage: Eukaryota; Viridiplantae; Streptophyta; Magnoliopsida; Malpighiales; Euphorbiaceae
Source: RNAcentral